RNAcentral lists this ribosomal RNA (482 nucleotides) under uncultured bacterium. Its description in RNAcentral is "partial 16S ribosomal RNA". It matches the Rfam family "Bacterial small subunit ribosomal RNA", at positions 28 to 507 of the family's 1533-position model. The record is from RNAcentral.
GACGAACGCUGGCGGCGUGCUUAACACAUGCAAGUCGAACGAUGAAGAAGAGAAACGCGAACUUCGGUUCAAAUUUCACUUCGGAUUAGUGGCAGACGGGUGAGUAACGCGUGGGCAACCUACCUCUUACAAAGGGAUAGCCUCGGGAAACCGUGAUUAAUACCAUAUGACACAUUCAUAAGGCAUCUUAAGAAUGUUAAAGCUACGGCGGUAAGAGAUGGGCUCGCGUCCCAUUAGCUAGUUGGUGAGGUAACGGCCCACCAAGGCGACGAUGGGUAACCGGCCUGAGAGGGUGAACGGUCACAUUGGAACUGAGACACGGUCCAAACUCCUACGGGAGGCAGCAGUGGGGAAUAUUGCACAAUGGAGGGAACUCUGAUGCAGCGACGCCGCGUGAGCGAUGAAGGAAUUCGUUUCGUAAAGCUCUGUUCUAUGGGAAGAAAAGGACUGUACCAUAGGAGAAAGCCCCGGCUAAAUACGUG